Long non-coding RNA from Betta splendens (Siamese fighting fish), 1008 nucleotides. RefSeq lists it as uncharacterized. The transcript has 3 exons. Lineage: Eukaryota; Metazoa; Chordata; Actinopteri; Anabantiformes; Osphronemidae. The record is from RefSeq and is a predicted model, not a curated record.
UGCGUUGUUGUGUUGUACCAGUUCAUCCACUGUUGUGAUGUUGUGAUGACUGGACAGGUGAUUUGGAGGUAACCUCCGUGGCUUUCCAGCUUUGACUUUGUGUUUGGGUUGAUAGGUGAACUGAAACUGUCUCCAGGCGAGUCAGACACCAGACAUCUGUCCAAGCAGGGAAACAAACUCAAUCAGCCUGGCACCAAAAGCAGUAAGGAAAAACUCUUGCAGUGAAACCAGGACAAGCGACAAACAAGCAACGCCUGUGUCUUCUCCUGAUGACAUGACAUGGCUACAGUACUAUACAGCUGGGUCAGUCAGAUCACAUGUUCUUGCUUCCAGCACCAGCAAAUACCCCCUCAGGAAACAGGCUCUAACAAAAACAAUCACUGAUACAACCUGACCGGGGGUGUGUUCCAGAAAGCGGGUUAUGUGACAUACUGUACCCAGGUAAGUUUGAGGGUAAGUUAGUGAUUAACCUCAGCUUUUGGUUAACUUUAAGGUAACUUUCAGGGUAUGUUUGUAACCAUAGCAACUUACUCUCUGAACAUAAUCUGCUCCGGAGCAAGUUAUGUUUUGGGGUAAGUUCGUUUCGGAGGUUACUGAGCAGGGCGUGUCUGUUUGAUGACGGUUUGACUUAUUAUAUUUUUUUCCACCGUGAGAGGGUCAUAAAGCCACGUAUCAAUGUUUUUUUCUUUCCGUAUUACUUUAUUACUUUCCAUUUCAAAGUUUCCAAACGUGAUUGGGUGCAUCGAUGGCACCCAUAUUCCUAUUAAAGCUCCAUCAGCCAAUGGGGGAGACUAUGUUAAGAGGAAGACAUUUCACAAUAUCAAUGUGCAGGUAAUAUUUGAUGCAACCCAUCUCAUCACUAAUGUUGAAGCCAAAUGAUCAGGGUCAGUGCAUGAUUUCAGAAUCUUCAGGGAAUCAUCACUAUGUCACAUGUUUCAACAGGGACGCUACAAUGGCUUCUUGCCGGGGGACAGAGGGUUCCCUUGUCUGCCCUAUUUAGUUGUAAUG